AUGGCGGAUGACGCCGGUGCAGCAGGGGGCCCUGGAGGCCCUGGGAUGGGGAACCGCAGUGGCUUCCGCAGUGGCAUCUGGGGCUGGGGUCACGGGCGUGGACGGGGCCGGGGCUGAGCCCGCAGAGCUCGCGGAGGCAAGGCCGAGGAUAAGGAGGAAUCAGAGAUCAUUGACUUUUUCCUGGGGGCCUCUCUCAAGGAUGAGGUUUUGAAGAUUAUGCCAGUGCAGAAGCAAACCCGUGCCGGCCAGCGCACUAGGUUCAAGGCGUUUGUUGCUAUCGGGGACUACAAUGGCCACGUCGGUCUGGGUGUUAAGUGCUCCAAGGAGGUGGCCACCGCCAUCUGUGGGGCCAUCAUCCUGGCCAAGCUCUCCAUUGUACCUGUGGGCAGAGGCUACUGGGGGAACAAGAUCGGCAAGGCCCACACCGUCCCUUGCAAGGUGACAGGCCGCUGCGGCUCUGUGCUGGUGCGCCUCAUCCCUGCACCUAGGGGCACUGGCAUCAUCUCCGCACCUGUGCCCAAGAAGCUGCUCAUGAUGGCUGGUAUCGAUGACUGCUACACCUCAGCCCGGGGCUGCACUGCCACCCUGGGCAACUUUGCCAAGGCCACCUUUGAUGCCAUUUCUAAGACCUACAGCUACCUGACCCCCGACCUCUGGAAGGAGACUGUAUUUACCAAGUCUCCCCAUCAGGAAUUCACUGACCACCUCGUCAAGACCCACACCAGAGUCUCCAUGCAGCGGACCCAGGCUCCAGCUGUGGCUACAACAUAGGGUUUUUAUACAAGAAAAAUAAAGUGAAUUAAGCCUGAAAAAAAA
RNA transcript from Nomascus leucogenys (northern white-cheeked gibbon), 816 nucleotides. It is a transcript of the gene named 40S ribosomal protein S2 pseudogene, with no coding region annotated. The transcript has a single exon. The record is from RefSeq and is a predicted model, not a curated record. NCBI's taxonomy places the organism in Eukaryota, Metazoa, Chordata, Mammalia, Primates, Hylobatidae.